AGAGUUUGAUCAUGGCUCAGAACGAACGCUGGCGGCAUGCCUAACACAUGCAAGUCGAACGAGCCCUUCGGGGUUAGUGGCGCACGGGUGCGUAACGCGUGGGAAUCUGCCCUUUGCUUCGGAAUAACAGUUAGAAAUGACUGCUAAUACCGGAUGAUGUCUUCGGACCAAAGAUUUAUCGGCAAGGGAUGAGCCCGCGUAGGAUUAGGUAGUUGGUGGGGUAAAGGCCUACCAAGCCGACGAUCCUUAGCUGGUCUGAGAGGAUGAUCAGCCACACUGGGACUGAGACACGGCCCAGACUCCUACGGGAGGCAGCAGUGGGGAAUAUUGGACAAUGGGCGCAAGCCUGAUCCAGCAAUGCCGCGUGAGUGAUGAAGGCCUUCGGGUCGUAAAGCUCUUUUACCAGGGAUGAUAAUGACAGUACCUGGAGAAUAAGCUCCGGCUAACUCCGUGCCAGCAGCCGCGGUAAUACGGAGGGAGCUAGCGUUGUUCGGAAUUACUGGGCGUAAAGCGCACGUAGGCGGCGACACAAGUCAGAGGUGAAAGCCCGGGGCUCAACCCCGGAACUGCCUUUGAAACUAGGUUGCUAGAAUCUUGGAGAGGUCAGUGGAAUUCCGAGUGUAGAGGUGAAAUUCGUAGAUAUUCGGAAGAACACCAGUGGCGAAGGCGACUGACUGGACAAGUAUUGACGCUGAGGAGCGAAAGCGUGGGGAGCGAACAGGAUUAGAUACCCUGGUAGUCCAA
This 744-nucleotide ribosomal RNA is filed under the name uncultured bacterium. RNAcentral describes it as "bacterial SSU rRNA". It matches the Rfam family "Bacterial small subunit ribosomal RNA", at positions 8 to 798 of the family's 1533-position model. The record is from RNAcentral.